Molecule: ribosomal RNA, 377 nt
Filed under: uncultured eukaryote
Lineage: Eukaryota
Description: partial 18S ribosomal RNA
Rfam family: Eukaryotic small subunit ribosomal RNA
Source: RNAcentral
CAAUAGCGUAUAUUAAAGUUGUUGCAGUUAAAAAGCUCGUAGUUGGAUUUCGGGGCAGCCUGGCUGGUCCGCCGCAAGGCGAGUACUGGUCAGCCGCCCUUCCUCUCGAAAGCCCCGACUGCUCUUUAUUGCAGUGGUCGGGUAGUUCGGGACGUUUACUUUGAAAAAAUUAGAGUGUUCAAGGCAGGCCUACGCCUGAAUACAUUAGCAUGGAAUAAUGGAAGAGGACCUCGGUCCUAUUUUGUUGGUUUCCAGGACCGAAGUAAUGAUUAAGAGGGACAGUUGGGGGCAUUCGUAUUUAAUUGUCAGAGGUGAAAUUCUCGGAUUUAUGAAAGACGAACAACUGCGAAAGCAUUUGCCAGGGAUGUUUUCAUUAA